This 774-nucleotide ribosomal RNA is filed under the name uncultured Neocallimastigales. RNAcentral describes it as "partial large subunit ribosomal RNA". It matches the Rfam family "Eukaryotic large subunit ribosomal RNA", at positions 24 to 645 of the family's 3401-position model. The record is from RNAcentral. Lineage: Eukaryota; Fungi; Neocallimastigomycota; Neocallimastigomycetes; Neocallimastigales.
UAUGUGAUCGUCUCUCGCAUAUCAAUAAGCGGAGGAAAAGAAACUAACAAGGAUUCCCCUAGUAACGGCGAGUGAAGCGGGAAGAGCUCAAAUUUGAAAUCUUAAAGGGUUUCCCUUUACGAAUUGUAGUUUAAAGAAGUGUUUUCUGUUGAGGUUUUGGUAAAAGUUCUUUGGAAUAGGACAUCAUAGAGGGUGAGAAUCCCGUAUUUGACCUUUACUUUCAACUUUGUGAUACACUUUCAAAGAGUCGGAUUGUUUGGGAAUGCAGUCCAAAAUGGGUGGUAAAUUUCAUCUGAAGCUAAAUAUUGGCGAGAGACCGAUAGCGAACAAGUACCGUGCGGGAAAGAUGAAAAGAACUUUGAAAAGAGAGUUAAACAGUACGUGAAAUUGUCAAAAGGGAAGCGUUUGACACCAGUGUUGUUUUUCUGAAAAUCAAUUAAAGAACUGUUUAUGCUAAGUUGUUUAGACUUUAUCAGCUAACUGUUUAGUUUUGAGCUUUUCUUUAAUGCACUUUUCAGUUAACAAGUCAACAUCAAUUUCUUUUGCUGUAAAAAAGCUUGAGGAAGGUGGCUUGAGAUUCGUCUUAAGUGUUUAUAGCCUCUUGCCUAUGCAGUCGGAGAGAUUGAGGUCUGCAGCGUAGAUCCUUCGGGGCUAAAUGCAUUUGUGCUAAGUUAUAGCAUUUUAUAGACAACUUGUUGACUAUGAUUUGUCUUGUAGCUUACUCGCUUAUGUUAUUUUACCUACGCUUAGGAUGUUGAAGUCAUCGUAUCGCGC